Molecule: ribosomal RNA, 720 nt
Filed under: uncultured Oligosphaera sp.
Lineage: Bacteria; Pseudomonadati; Lentisphaerota; Oligosphaeria; Oligosphaerales; Oligosphaeraceae
Description: bacterial SSU rRNA
Rfam family: Bacterial small subunit ribosomal RNA
Source: RNAcentral
AAUGAACGCUGGCGGCAUGGAUUAGGCAUGCAAGUCGAACGGGGCGCCCUCGGGCGCCUAGUGGCGAAAGGGUGAGUAACACGUGAGCAACCUGCCCCCGAGUCCGGAAUAAGCGGUGGAAACGCCGUCUAAUGCCGGAUGCGGACCGCGGCCUCCUGGCCGCGGCUCCAAAGAUUUAUCGCUUGGGGAUGGGCUCGCGCCCCAUUAGCUAGUUGGCGGGGUAAGCGCCCACCAAGGCUACGACGGGUAGGUGGACUGAGAGGUUGGUCACCCACACUGGGACUGAGACACUGCCCAGACUCCUACGGGAGGCUGCAGUCGAGAAUCUUCCGCAAUGGGCGAAAGCCUGACGGAGCGAUGCCGCGUGAGGGAAGAAUGCCUUCGGGUUGUAAACCUCUGUCACCCGGGACGAAGCAAUGACGGUACCGGGAGAGGAAGUCACGGCUAACUACGUGCCAGCAGCCGCGGUAACACGUAGGUGGCGAGCGUUAUUCGGAUUCACUGGGCGUAAAGGGUCCGCAGGGGGCCUGCCAAGUCUGUCGUGAAAACCCGGGGCUCAACCCCGGGCCUGCGGUGGAGACUGGCGGGCUUGAGUUCGUGAUGGGCAGACGGAACACCUGGUGUAGCGGUGGAAUGCGUGGAUAUCAGGUGGAACACCGAUGGCGAAGGCGGUCUGCUGGCGCGACACUGACCCUCAUGGACGAAAGCGUGGGUAGCGAA